AGGCGGUUGGCGUAAAUGGUAGCGCAGCCUGUAACUUAAAGAUACCUUUCUUAUCACAGGUAAGAUGUCGGUUCGAUUCCGGCACCGUCUCCCCA
RNAcentral lists this transfer RNA (95 nucleotides) under Caudoviricetes sp. RNAcentral describes it as "tRNA-OTHER". It matches the Rfam family "tRNA". From Rfam's summary of the family: Transfer RNA (tRNA) molecules are approximately 80 nucleotides in length. Their secondary structure includes four short double-helical elements and three loops (D, anti-codon, and T loops). Lineage: Duplodnaviria; Heunggongvirae; Uroviricota; Caudoviricetes. The record is from RNAcentral.